Molecule: unclassified non-coding RNA, 377 nt
Filed under: uncultured Acidimicrobiia bacterium
Lineage: Bacteria; Bacillati; Actinomycetota; Acidimicrobiia
Description: contains 16S-23S intergenic spacer region
Source: RNAcentral
UCCGAGUUGUCCCCGGCAGUCUCCUACGAGUUCCCGCCAUUACGCGCUGGCAACAUAGGACGAGGGUUGCGCUCGUUGCGGGACUUAACCCAACAUCUCACGACACGAGCUGACGACAACCAUGCACCACCUGUGUACGGCCCCGAAGGACACUACAUCUCUGCAGCUUUUCCGUACAUGUCAAGCCUAGGUAAGGUUCUUCGCGUUGCUUCGAAUUAAGCCACAUGCUCCGCUGCUUGUGCGGGCCCCCGUCAAUUCCUUUGAGUUUUAGCCUUGCGGCCGUACUCCCCAGGCGGGGCACUUAAUGCGUUAGCUGCGGCACGGACGACGUUGAAAAUCGCCCACACCUAGUGCCCACCGUUUACGGCGUGGACUAC